Molecule: ribosomal RNA, 899 nt
Filed under: Alternaria sp.
Lineage: Eukaryota; Fungi; Ascomycota; Dothideomycetes; Pleosporales; Pleosporaceae
Description: LSU rRNA
Rfam family: Eukaryotic large subunit ribosomal RNA
Source: RNAcentral
AAGCGGAGGAAAAGAAACCAACAGGGAUUGCCUAGUAACGGCGAGUGAAGCGGCAACAGCUCAAAUUUGAAAUCUGGCUCUUUUAGAGUCCGAGUUGUAAUUUGCAGAGGGCGCUUUGGCUUUGGCAGCGGUCCAAGUUCCUUGGAACAGGACGUCACAGAGGGUGAGAAUCCCGUACGUGGUCGCUGGCUAUUGCCGUGUAAAGCCCCUUCGACGAGUCGAGUUGUUUGGGAAUGCAGCUCUAAAUGGGAGGUACAUUUCUUCUAAAGCUAAAUAUUGGCCAGAGACCGAUAGCGCACAAGUAGAGUGAUCGAAAGAUGAAAAGCACUUUGGAAAGAGAGUCAAACAGCACGUGAAAUUGUUGAAAGGGAAGCGCUUGCAGCCAGACUUGCUUACAGUUGCUCAUCCGGGUUUCUACCCGGUGCACUCUUCUGUAGGCAGGCCAGCAUCAGUUUGGGCGGUAGGAUAAAGGUCUCUGUCACGUACCUCCUUUCGGGGAGGCCUUAUAGGGGAGACGACAUACUACCAGCCUGGACUGAGGUCCGCGCAUCUGCUAGGAUGCUGGCGUAAUGGCUGUAAGCGGCCCGUCUUGAAACACGGACCAAGGAGUCUAACAUCUAUGCGAGUGUUUGGGUGUCAAGCCCGAGCGCGUAAUGAAAGUGAACGGAGGUGGGAACCCGCAAGGGUGCACCAUCGACCGAUCCUGAUGUCUUCGGAAGGAUUUGAGUAAGAGCAUGGCUGUUGGGACCCGAAAGAUGGUGAACUAUGCUUGAAUAGGGUGAAGCCAGAGGAAACUCUGGUGGAGGCUCGCAGCGGUUCUGACGUGCAAAUCGAUCGUCAAAUUUGGGCAUAGGGGCGAAAGACUAAUCGAACUAUCUAGUAGCUGGUUCCUGCCGAAG